Molecule: ribosomal RNA, 465 nt
Filed under: uncultured bacterium
Lineage: Bacteria
Description: partial 16S ribosomal RNA
Rfam family: Bacterial small subunit ribosomal RNA
Source: RNAcentral
GAUGAACGCUGGCGGCGUGCUUAACACAUGCAAGUCGAACGGAAAGGCUCCUGCUUGCAGGGGUACUCGAGUGGCGAACGGGUGAGUAACACGUGGGUGAUCUGCCCUGCACUUCGGGAUAAGCCUGGGAAACUGGGUCUAAUACCGGAUAGGACCACAUUUUGGAUGGUGUGGUGGAAAGUUUUUCGGUGUGGGAUGAGCUCGCGGCCUAUCAGCUUGUUGGUGGGGUAAUGGCCUACCAAGGCGUCGACGGGUAGCCGGCCUGAGAGGGUGUACGGCCACAUUGGGAGUGAGAUACGGCCCAGACUCCUACGGGAGGCAGCAGUGGGGAAUAUUGAACAAUGGGCGAAAGCCUGAUGCAGCGACGCCGAGUGGGGGAUGACGGCCUUCGGGUUGUAAACUCCUUUCGCUAGGGAAGAAGCGCAAGUGACGGUACCUGGAGAAGAAGCACCGGCUAACUACGUG